RNAcentral lists this ribosomal RNA (200 nucleotides) under uncultured bacterium. RNAcentral's name for it is "partial 16S ribosomal RNA". It matches the Rfam family "Bacterial small subunit ribosomal RNA", at positions 328 to 539 of the family's 1533-position model. The record is from RNAcentral.
ACGCUCGACACCUACGGGGAGGCAGCAGUGGGGAAUAUUGCACAAUGGGGGAAACCCUGAUGCAGCGACGCCGCGUGAGCGAAGAAGUAUUUCGGUAUGUAAAGCUCUAUCAGCAGGGAAGAAACUGACGGUACCUGACUAAGAAGCACCGGCUAAAUACGUGCCAACAGCCGCGGUAAUCUGAGGCGGGCUGGCAAGGC